RNAcentral lists this ribosomal RNA (466 nucleotides) under uncultured bacterium. Its description in RNAcentral is "partial 16S ribosomal RNA". It matches the Rfam family "Bacterial small subunit ribosomal RNA", at positions 28 to 507 of the family's 1533-position model. The record is from RNAcentral.
GACGAACGCUGGCGGCGUGCUUAACACAUGCAAGUCGAACGGAAAGGCUCCAGCUUGCUGGAGUACUCGAGUGGCGAACGGGUGAGUAACACGUGGGUAAUCUGCCCUGCACUCUGGGAUAAGCCUGGGAAACUGGGUCUAAUACUGGAUAUGACCUUUCUCCUUAUGGGGUUUGGUGGAAAGUUUUUCGGUGUAGGAUGAGCCGCGGCCUAUCAGCUUGUUGGUGGGGUGAUGGCCUACCAAGGCGACGACGGGUAGCCGGCCUGAGAGGGUGAUCGGCCACAUUGGGACUGAGAUACGGCCCAGACUCCUACGGGAGGCAGCAGUGGGGAAUAUUGCACAAUGGGCGGAAGCCUGAUGCAGCGACGCCGCGUGAGGGAUGACGGCCUUCGGGUUGUAAACCUCUUUCAGCAGGGACGAAGCGUAAGUGACGGUACCUGCAGAAGAAGCACCGGCUAACUAUGUG